Small RNA from Lucilia cuprina (Australian sheep blowfly), 148 nucleotides. It matches the Rfam family "RprA RNA". Rfam says of the family: Translational regulation of the stationary phase sigma factor RpoS is mediated by the formation of a double-stranded RNA stem-loop structure in the upstream region of the rpoS messenger RNA, occluding the translation initiation site. Clones carrying rprA (RpoS regulator RNA A) increased the translation of RpoS. The rprA gene encodes a 106 nucleotide regulatory RNA. The record is from Rfam. NCBI's taxonomy places the organism in Eukaryota, Metazoa, Arthropoda, Insecta, Diptera, Calliphoridae.
UUUUAAUUAAAUUAUCAUUAAUAUAAUAAAUUACGUUUCACUCAAUACGGAUCUCAAAGCCAUGCUUAUUUAAGCUAAAGCGUGGCUGUCUCAAUCGAAUUGCUGUGUGUAGUCUUUGCCUGUCAGCCCAUGAUAGGCUUUUUUUUUA